Molecule: unclassified non-coding RNA, 484 nt
Filed under: Hevea brasiliensis (rubber tree)
Lineage: Eukaryota; Viridiplantae; Streptophyta; Magnoliopsida; Malpighiales; Euphorbiaceae
Source: RNAcentral
UCAACAGUGUCAAAGAACUUAUAGGUUUCUGGGUUCAACCUCCCAGUGUCCAGACUGAACACCCUAAAGGGUCUACCGGUUAGCUUUGCAUACUCUAUCAAAGCAACAUCUUCAGCACCACUGAAUGCAAUAGCAAUAUCAUUGCCAAACUUCUCAAGAGCCUUAUCCAUAAUCUCCAAAGGUGAAGAGUUCUCAAGCACCUUGGCCAAUUGUUCAUAGUCUUCCACCUCUAUUUUCUCUGCUACCUCAGACUCAGCUAUAGCUGCCGCAAGCGGGACAAUGGAGUCAUUCCGUUUGGACUCCGCGUUCACCGGCUUCACCGAGCAUCUCCGUUGAGAAAGGCUGACGGCGGCCGGGCGACCCAACAACCGCAAUGAACCAAUUUGGAGAGCUUUGAGCUCAGAGGAGAGCGAAUAAUUGGUAGCAGAAAUUGCAGAAGAAGAAGAAGAGGCAACACUGAAAGCCAUUAAAGAAUACAGAGAAC